CUUCGGGAGCUGGUGAUGGACAGGGAAGCCUGGUGUGCUGCAGUCCAUGGAGUUUCAGAGUCGGACACAACUGAGGGACUGAAUUGAAACUGGUGAAAUAGUAAUAAUAAUAUAGGUACAUUCACUGAGUGACUGGAUUUAUAAAUCACUUUCUUAACCAUAAAGGUAUACUAUCCCCAAGACAAGGUACCAAUUUUAGCCAGGUUCACUGGAGAUAAUUGUUUAAAGAAUAUAUAAAGGUCCUUAAAUACCAAAUGUGGCAGAGAAGCAAGAGAAAUAUUUUUGAGCAGGUGAGCUUUGAUUUGUCCUUGAAGUUAUGCCAUGAAAGUGUCCACCUGUCAUUGUCCUAUGCUAGUAGAAGGUCUUUGUUCUAUAAGAAAACAAAUCAUGUAAGGAUGAUUUUGGUAGUUUUAUGGAUUAAAUGAGGCAGUCUUUUUCAUAAAAUCAAUUUUUGGCACUGAGAAAACAAAACAAAAAAAGUCAUUUGAGAGUAGAAAUGUACAUAGAGCUUAAUGUAUUGAAAUCUUCAAACAGGAAUUUCACGAAAGUGGGGUUCUUCCACAAUGUUUAACUUGUAGAUGAAAUGCACUGUUCACAAUGUCAAGCCAGAAAACAGAAAUACUCUACAGUGAUUUACAGGUUUGUAAUGCUCCACUGAAACAUGAAACUUUGUUUGUUUUAAUAAACCUUGAGCUCAUUUUACAUAUGACAAUUAUGCUAAACAAUGAGACCCUUGGUAAACACCUAAUUCACAAAGUGUCAUUCAUGUGUCCCUUUAGUACUCUUGACAAAUCAACUUUCUGAAUCCAUUAAGCAGGGUAAACCGUUCUGCCAACCCACAAAGAUUCCUAACCACAGAAACCCUGAAAGUUUUCCUUGGUGGGUUUAUGUCAGUUCCUGUUCUACUCCAGUAUGGUAAUACCAGAUUUAAUUUGUCUUGAAAAUGAAACUAUUAUUCUGAAAAUGAACUAUUCAUAACUUAUCAUUUCCCCUUUUUAUUAAUUAACUUGGCAACUUUUCUUCCCAAAUAGUCUUGAAUAGUCAGAGACAUGCAUUGCUUUUUAGUGGUUUGUGCUUGGACCUAAAUUUUCUAGCCUAUUACUUCUGCAAGCCUUCAUUUUUGCAUAUUCAGGGAAAGGAUAAAAAUCAAUAAAAGUAGAAUUUCUAAAAGAAGAGUAGAGAUGACUUGAUAAUCAAAAAUAAUUAAAGAAUAACUUUUGCUACCAAUUUGUUUUCCAAAGCCAAUAUGAACAAUUCCAUUUUUCAGUAUUUACUCUAGGAAAAUGAAGUAUAUGCAUACAAAAUCCUGUAUAUAAAUAGCCCUAAUAGCUUUAUGUAUAACAUCCUGAAAUUGGAAACAACCCAAAUGUUCUUUAUGGAUGAAUGAAUAAACAAACUGUAGUAUAUCCUUAAAUGGAAUACUACUCAGCAAUAAUAAAUAAGCUAGAAAUGCACAAACUUGGAUGAAUCUCAAAGGCAUUAUGCUGAAUGAAAAAUGCCCAUUUCA
Molecule: long non-coding RNA, 1507 nt
Filed under: Capra hircus (goat)
Lineage: Eukaryota; Metazoa; Chordata; Mammalia; Artiodactyla; Bovidae
Description: lncRNA (ENSCHIG00010010820.1)
Source: RNAcentral